RNAcentral lists this ribosomal RNA (484 nucleotides) under uncultured bacterium. RNAcentral describes it as "bacterial SSU rRNA". It matches the Rfam family "Bacterial small subunit ribosomal RNA", at positions 28 to 507 of the family's 1533-position model. The record is from RNAcentral.
GAUGAACGCUAGCGGCAGGCCUAACACAUGCAAGUCGAGGGGCAUCGCGGUGCAGCAAUGCACUGGCGGCGACCGGCGUACGGGUGCGUAACGCGUAUGCAACCUGCCCCGCACCGGGGGAUAGCCCGCCGAAAGGCGGAUUAAUACCCCAUGGUCCCGGGGGCCCGCAUGGGCAUCCGGGUAAAGCCUUGGCGGUGCGGGAUGGGCAUGCGUGCCAUUAGCUGGCUGGUGGGGUAACGGCCCACCAGGGCAACGAUGGCUAGGGGGUCUGAGAGGAUGGUCCCCCACACUGGUACUGAGACACGGACCAGACUCCUACGGGAGGCAGCAGUGAGGAAUAUUGGUCAAUGGGCGGAAGCCUGAACCAGUCAUGCCGCGUGCGGGAUGAAGGCCCUACGGGUUGUAAACCGCUUUUCCCCGGGAAGAAUAACCCCGAUGAGUCGGGGAUGCCGGUACCGGGGAAUAAGGAUCGGCUAACUCCGUG